Molecule: ribosomal RNA, 483 nt
Filed under: Triticum aestivum (bread wheat)
Lineage: Eukaryota; Viridiplantae; Streptophyta; Magnoliopsida; Poales; Poaceae
Description: partial small subunit ribosomal RNA
Source: RNAcentral
AUGUGUGUGGGCCGAGCGGCCAGGUGGAGCUCCGCCUCCGAUGGCGAGAUCUCGCCCUACCUCAUUUCCACUAACACUGUCAGCACCCUCAAGGACAUCACGGACGUCAUACUGCGCGCCGGCUAUGGGCCGGAGCUCUGCCAGGUCUACAGCGAGGUGCGCCGGGACACGCGCAUGGGGUGCCUCGCCGUGCUUGGGGUCGAUAAGAUGAGCCUGGAGCAGGUGCAGCACGUGGAGUGGGGCAUCCUCGAUGGCAAGAUGAAGAAGUGGAUCCAGGCUCUCAGGGUCGUCGUCCAGGGCCUUCUCGCUGAGGAGCGCCGCAUCUGUGGCCAGAUCCUCGCGGCCGACACAGAUGCCAAGGAAGAGUGCUUUACUGAGGCUACCAAGGGGUGUGUCUUGCAGCUGCUCAACUUCGGUGAUGCCAUUGCGAUUGGCAAGAGAUCGUCCGAGAAGUUGUUCCGCAUUCUUGGCAUGUACGUAUGA